This 2276-nucleotide ribosomal RNA is filed under the name marine metagenome. RNAcentral describes it as "bacterial LSU rRNA". It matches the Rfam family "Bacterial large subunit ribosomal RNA", at positions 677 to 2925 of the family's 2925-position model. The record is from RNAcentral.
GCGAGUCUGAAUAGGGCGUUGUCCCGACUUGUCGGGACGGGUCGCACGGAUUAGACCCGAAGCUGGGUGAGCUAUCCAUGACCAGGAUGAAACCUCGAUAAACUCGAGGUGAAGGUCCGAACUGGUGAGCGUUACAAAGCUCUCAGAUGAGUUGUGGAUAGAGGUGAUAUGCCAAACGAACCCAGGGAUAGCUGGUACUCCCCGAAAUGUAUUUAGGUACAGCCUCAGAUGUUCGCUAAUGGAGGUAGGGCUCUGGAUGGAUUCGGGAGAUAACACCUUACCAACUCCAACUAAACCACAAAUGCCAUUAGCCAAAAUCUGGGAGUGAGACUGUGGGGGAUAAGCUUCAUAGUCGAGAGGGAAACAGCCCAGACCAUCAGCUAAGGUCCCCAAGCGCUAACUAAGUGGAAAAGGAAGUAGUGUUGCAUAGACAGCCAGGAGGUUGGCUCAGAAGCAGCCAUCCUUAAAAGAGUGCGUAAGAGCUCACUGGUUGAGUGGUGCUGCGCCGAAAACCUAACGGGGCUCAAGUUAGCCACCGAAGCUAUGGCUCCGAUGCAAAUCGGAGGGUAGGGGAGCGUUCUCUCAGCAGUGAAGUUCUUCCGUGAGGAAGGAUGGAGCUCAGAGAAGUGAGAAUGCCGGCAUGAGUAGCGCGAGGCGUGUGAAAAACACGCCCACCGGAAACCUAAGGUUUCCUAUGCAAGGUUAAUCCGCAUAGGGUUAGUCGGGCCUAAGCCGAGGCCGGAAGGCGUAGGCGAUGGACAACGGGUUAUUAUUCCCGUACCGUUUCCAUGGAGGCAAAGGGAGAACACGGGAGGGUAGGCUAAGCAUACCCAUCGGACAUGGUGUGUUCUUCAUCAAAGGUGAUGCUGGGGCAGGAAAAUCCACUCCAGAUAUUAUAGCUGAAGAUGAGGAGAAGCUGAGGGGAGACUCAAGGCAACCUAGCCGAACCCAUGCCGUCAAGAAAAGUCUCGUUGCCAUUGAAGUGGGAGCGCCCGUACCGCAAACCGACUCUGGUAGGUUAGGAUAAAAGUCCUAAGGUGUUCGAGUAAUCCCUCGUUAAGGAACUCGGCAAUCUAACCCCGUAACUUCGGAAUAAGGGGUGCCCCGAUUAUGUCGGGGUGACAUUAAAUUGGCCCAAGCAACUGUUUAACAAAAACAUAGGUCUCUGCUAAAGCGUAAGCUGAAAUAUAGAGGCCGAUACCUGCCCAGUGCUGGAAGGUUAAGGGGAGAAGUCAUUCCGAGCAAUCGGGAGAAGCCUUGAACUGAAGCCCCAGUGAACGGCGGCCGUAACUAUAACGGUCCUAAGGUAGCGAAGUCCCUUGUCGGGUAAGUUCCGACCCGCACGAAUGGUGUAAUGACUUGGGCGCUGUCUCAACGAGGGGCUCGGCGAAAUUGAAAUACCCGUGCAGAUACAGGUUACCCGCGACAGGACAAAAAGACCCCGUGGAGCUUUACUAUAGCUUGGCACUGAGUCUGGGCUUUCCUUGUGUAGGAUAGGUGGGAGGCUUUGAAGCCCCGACGCUAGUCGGAGUGGAGCCAACGUUGAAAUACCACCCUUGGUAAGUUUAGCCUCUAACCCCAGAACAAGCUGGGGGACCGUGUCUGGUGGGUAGUUUGACUGGGGCGGUCGCCUCCCAAACAGUAACGGAGGCGCCCAAAGGUCCCCUCAGAGUGUAUGGAAAUCACUCAGUGAGCGCAUUGGCAUAAGGGGGCUUGACUGUAAGACUCACAAGUCGAGCAGGGACGAAAGUCGGGCAAAGUGAUCCUACGGCACCGUGUGGAAGGGCCGUAGCUCAACGGAUAAAAGCUACCCCGGGGAUAACAGGCUUAUCUUGCCCAAGAGUUCACAUCGACGGCAAGGUUUGGCACCUCGAUGUCGGCUCGUCGCAUCCUGGGGCUGAAGCAGGUCCCAAGGGUCCGGCUGUUCGCCGGUUAAAGCGGCACGCGAGCUGGGUUCAGACCGUCGUGAGACAGGUCGGUCUCUAUCCGUCGUGGGCGUCCGGAGAUUUGAGGGGAGCUCUCUCCAGUACGAGAGGGCCGAGAGGGACAGACCUCUGGUGUUCCAGUUGUUCCGCCAGGGGCAUUGCUGGGUAGCUAUGUCUGGUCAGGAUAAGCGCUGAAAGCAUCUAAGUGCGAAGCCUACCCCAAGAUAAUAUCUCCCAUCCCGACUUCGGUCGGGAGUAAGGCCACAAGUAGACUACUUGCUAUAUAGGCCGCAGGUGUAAGCGCAGUAAUGCGUUCAGCUGAGCGGUACUAAUGGCCGAGGGCUUGGCCUG